Molecule: non-coding RNA, 167 nt
Filed under: Limosilactobacillus coleohominis
Lineage: Bacteria; Bacillati; Bacillota; Bacilli; Lactobacillales; Lactobacillaceae
Description: Lysine riboswitch
Rfam family: Lysine riboswitch aptamer
About the family: Riboswitches are metabolite binding domains within certain messenger RNAs that serve as precision sensors for their corresponding targets. Allosteric rearrangement of mRNA structure is mediated by ligand binding, and this results in modulation of gene expression.
Source: RNAcentral
AUAAGAAGAGGUUGCACAAGCCAUCAGUACUUCAUUUAUGGUUGGUAAAGACAAACGGAUGGAGAAAAGGGGCUUGUGCCGAAAUCAACGUUAGUUUACCCUGGCGCUGGUUGGGACGUUAUCCGAAAGGGUACGGACUGUCGUAAGAAUACUUACGGAGCGCUUCA